RNAcentral lists this non-coding RNA (45 nucleotides) under Schistosoma margrebowiei. Lineage: Eukaryota; Metazoa; Platyhelminthes; Trematoda; Strigeidida; Schistosomatidae. The record is from RNAcentral.
AUCUAGCUGAAGAGCCCCAGACGGAACGAAACUCGCGUCCUGGAU